RNAcentral lists this ribosomal RNA (433 nucleotides) under Pleurodonte nucleola. RNAcentral describes it as "partial 16S ribosomal RNA". It matches the Rfam family "Bacterial large subunit ribosomal RNA", at positions 1828 to 2602 of the family's 2925-position model. Lineage: Eukaryota; Metazoa; Mollusca; Gastropoda; Stylommatophora; Pleurodontidae. The record is from RNAcentral.
AACCAGGUGUGUUCUAUAUUUGGCGUUUUCUGCUCAAUGAGUAUUAAAUAGCCGCAGUACCUUGACUGUGCAAAGGUAGCAUAAUCAGUUGUCUUUUAAUUGAAGUCUGGCAUGAAUGAAUAAAUGGGUAGGAACUGUCUCAAGAAAGAAACAAAAAUUUACUUAGUAAGUGAAAAUACUUAUGUUUUGACAAAAGACGAGAAGACCCUAGAAAUUUUUUAAAACUUACAAUUAUUUGUAUAUUAUUUUACUGGGGCGGUAAAGUAACAAUAUAACUUGCUUAAUGUAUUAGAAGUUUUUUUACAGUAAAAAUAUAAUUACUCUAGGGAUAACAGCAUAAUUUUUAAAAGUUUGUGACCUCGAUGUUGGACUAGGGCUCGUAAUAUUCAGAAGAUAUUAUUGUGUGUUCUGUUCGAACAAAUUUCCCUACAUG